AGCGGCAACAGCUCAGAUUUGAAAUCCGGCCCCCGGCCCGAGUUGUAAUCUGCAGAGGAUGCUUCGGGCGCGGCGCCUUCCAAGUCCCCUGGAACGGGGCGCCAGAGAGGGUGAGAGCCCCGUCCGGUCGGCCGCCAAGCCCGUGCGAAGCUCCUUCGACGAGUCGAGUAGUUUGGGAAUGCUGCUCUAAACGGGAGGUAGACCCCUUCUAAAGCUAAAUACCGGCCAGAGACCGAUAGCGCACAAGUAGAGUGAUCGAAAGAUGAAAAGCACUUUGAAAAGAGGGUUAAACAGUACGUGAAAUUGUUGAAAGGGAAGCACUCGCGACCAGACGUGCGGCGGGUGCUCAGCAGGCGUUCUCGCCUGUGCACUCGCCCGCCGCAGGCCAGCGUCGGCUCGCGCGGGGGGAGAAAGGCGCCGGGAACGUGGCUCCUCCGGGAGUGUUACAGCCCGGCGCGCCAUGCCCCCGCUGCGGGCCGAGGUCCGCGCUCCGCAAGGACGCUGGCGUAAUGGUCUCCAGUGACCCGUCUUGAAA
This 535-nucleotide ribosomal RNA is filed under the name Anacacumisporium appendiculatum. Its description in RNAcentral is "eukaryotic LSU rRNA". It matches the Rfam family "Eukaryotic large subunit ribosomal RNA", at positions 97 to 659 of the family's 3401-position model. The record is from RNAcentral. Lineage: Eukaryota; Fungi; Ascomycota; Sordariomycetes; Chaetosphaeriales; Chaetosphaeriaceae.